Molecule: ribosomal RNA, 274 nt
Filed under: uncultured bacterium
Lineage: Bacteria
Description: partial 16S ribosomal RNA
Rfam family: Bacterial small subunit ribosomal RNA
Source: RNAcentral
CUACGAAGGGGGCUAGCGUUGUUCGGAAUCACUGGGCGUAAAGCGCGCGUAGGUGGAUCAAUUAGUUGAGGGUGAAAUCCCGGGGCUCAACCUCGGAACUGCCUUCAAUACUGUUGAUCUUGAGACCGAGAGAGGUGAGUGGAAUUCCUAGUGUAGAGGUGAAAUUCGUAGAUAUUAGGAAGAACACCAGUGGCGAAGGCGGCUCACUGGCUCGGUACUGACGCUGAGGUACGAAAGUGUGGGGAGCAAACAGGAUUAGAAACCCUAGUAGUCC